GACGAACGCUGGCGGCGUGCUUAACACAUGCAAGUCGAACGGUGAAGGGACUGGUUUUGCUGGUCCUGGAUGAGUGGCGAACGGGUGAGUAACACGUGAGUAACCUGCCCCCUUCUUCUGGAUAACCGCAUGAAAGUGUGGCUAAUACGGGAUAUUCUGGGUCUGUCGCAUGGUGGGCCUGGGAAAGAUUGCGCCUUUUUUGGUGUUUUUGGUGGGGGAUGGGCUCGCGGCCUAUCAGCUUGUUGGUGGGGUGAUGGCCUACCAAGGCGGUGACGGGUAGCCGGCCUGAGAGGGUGGACGGUCACACUGGGACUGAGACACGGCCCAGACUCCUACGGGAGGCAGCAGUGGGGAAUAUUGCACAAUGGGCGCAAGCCUGAUGCAGCGACGCCGCGUGAGGGAUGGAGGCCUUCGGGUUGUGAACCUCUUUCGCCAGUGAAGCAGGCCUGCCUCGUUUUUGGGUGG
Molecule: ribosomal RNA, 465 nt
Filed under: Actinomyces naeslundii
Lineage: Bacteria; Bacillati; Actinomycetota; Actinomycetes; Actinomycetales; Actinomycetaceae
Description: bacterial SSU rRNA
Rfam family: Bacterial small subunit ribosomal RNA
Source: RNAcentral